GUGGGGAAUCUUGCGCAAUGGGCGAAAGCCUGACGCAGCCAUGCCGCGUGAAUGAUGAAGGUCUUAGGAUUGUAAAAUUCUUUCACCGGGGACGAUAAUGACGGUACCCGGAGAAGAAGCCCCGGCUAACUUCGUGCCAGCAGCCGCGGUAAUACGAAGGGGGCUAGCGUUGCUCGGAAUUACUGGGCGUAAAGGGCGCGUAGGCGGACAGUUUAGUCAGAGGUGAAAGCCAGGGGCUCAACCUUGGAAUUGCCUUUGAUACUGGCUGUCUUGAGUGAGUGAGAUGUGAGUGGAACUCAGAGUGUAGAGGUGAAAUUCGUAGUUAGUCGGAAGAACGCCAGGGGCUAAGGCGACUCACUGGCCCGUUACUGACGCUGAGGCGCGAAAGCGUGGGGAGCAAACAGGAUUAGAUACCCGUGUAGUCC
RNAcentral lists this ribosomal RNA (425 nucleotides) under uncultured bacterium. Its description in RNAcentral is "partial 16S ribosomal RNA". It matches the Rfam family "Bacterial small subunit ribosomal RNA", at positions 354 to 796 of the family's 1533-position model. The record is from RNAcentral.